This 622-nucleotide long non-coding RNA is filed under the name Mus musculus (house mouse). RNAcentral describes it as "predicted gene 28850". Lineage: Eukaryota; Metazoa; Chordata; Mammalia; Rodentia; Muridae. The record is from RNAcentral.
GGCCUUGCUCUUAUGUCAUUUGACUAAAGGUUUCAUAGACCAAAGAUAACCAUCCAACUUGUUGGAAUACUGAAACAAUUGCUGCCUGCUGUCCACACACCACAUAAAAUAUGUGGAUUUUGUAAAUUCUGCAAAAAAGGUUUGGAAGCUGAUCAAUCAAUACUGGAACUCCCUCUUCUCCAGAAGAGACAUCCUGGCCUCCAUGCAGAGGAAUGUGUGGAUGGACAUAUAUUUAAGGAAGACACUAAACCAGAAACUACUACAUUACACCCUCUUAGAAGACUUCUAAGAUUGUUGUCAUGCCUACCACAGACAUUCAGAUGAUGUGUAUUGUUGAUUGUGAUUUCAUGUUUGGACCUGAUGAAGGAACCCAGGAGAUGAACAUAUGCCUGAGAAGACGAACUAGUGUGGAACUGUCAGCCAGGUUUUUGAUGAGUGCUCAGACGGAUUCCUGAUCCAGCAUCCACAUUUACUAUAGUGGACAGAUGCUCUAGUCUCUAAUGAGGAGUUGCUAGCUGUUAGGAAGAACCUGAAAUGGGCUCCACUGCAUGAGGUUUGAAGUCUCCAGAGCAGCAAAGAGAGUGGGGAGUAGAACUAUUCAUCUUUAGGUCACUCAUCAUCG